RNAcentral lists this ribosomal RNA (449 nucleotides) under uncultured prokaryote. RNAcentral describes it as "bacterial SSU rRNA". It matches the Rfam family "Bacterial small subunit ribosomal RNA", at positions 355 to 796 of the family's 1533-position model. The record is from RNAcentral.
UGGGGAAUAUUGGACAAUGGGCGCAAGCCUGAUCCAGCAAUGCCGCGUGGGUGAAGAAGGCCUGCGGGUUGUAAAGCCCUUUCAGUAGGGAAGAAAAGCGUGAGGUUAAUACCCUCGAGUCUUGACGUUACCUACAGAAGAAGCACCGGCUAAUUCCGUGCCAGCAGCCGCGGUAAUACGGAAGGUGCGAGCGUUAAUCGGAAUUACUGGGCGUAAAGCGCACGUAGGCGGUUGAGUAAGUCGGAUGUGAAAGCCCCGGGCUUAACCUGGGAAUGGCAUUCGAUACUGCUUGGCUAGAGUAUGGGAGAGGGUAGCGGAAUUCCGGGUGUAGCGGUGAAAUGCGUAGAUAUCCGGAGGAACAUCAGUGGCGAAGGCGGCUACCUGGGCCAAUACUGACGCUGAGGUGCGAAAGCGUGGGGAGCAAACAGGAUUAGAUACCCCCGUAGUCC